This is a long non-coding RNA of Cannabis sativa, 588 nucleotides long. RefSeq lists it as uncharacterized. The transcript has 3 exons. The record is from RefSeq and is a predicted model, not a curated record. NCBI's taxonomy places the organism in Eukaryota, Viridiplantae, Streptophyta, Magnoliopsida, Rosales, Cannabaceae.
UAAAAAAAAAAAUUGAUGCGCUAUUACUGACGUUUUAGAACCGUCGGGCAAAAUAUGGACCACGAUUUUAAAGCGUGGCCCAUACUUUGCCCGACGAUUCUAAACCGUCGGUAAAUACCCUUUCAAAAUAAAAUCUCGUGCGUCAGACCUCUCCUUCAUAUUAGCCUCAAUCGCGAUUUGCCCUAAGCCUUUUGCUUCACCCCAACGCACGAGCCUAUCUCUGGUUUCCAUCAGAUCGACGAGCCCCCAAUCCGUCAGCCGUGAGCCUAUCUCCGCUCUGGUUCAAGAUUCCGUUGUCCGCCCGUGAUUGAAGGCAUAAUCUGCUCCUUCCUUCCAGGGUAAGAGCGAUCCGUAUUCAAAUGAUGAGAUGAAUAUUCUGCGUGAUCAGUGGAUUGAAUACGUUCGAGCACAGGCAGUGCAACAAGGACUAUUACAAUGAUCAAUUUCUGUUUUUGUUUAUACUUAAUCCUAAAUAAUUAGUGACAAUAUAUAAAUCAUGUAGGGAAAACUUUACUAUAUAAAUCAGAAUCUGUUUUAGUUUGACAAAUGACAAUAUAUAUACUUUAUCCUAACUAUUUUUUUCCUUUU